Molecule: ribosomal RNA, 164 nt
Filed under: Strophariaceae sp.
Lineage: Eukaryota; Fungi; Basidiomycota; Agaricomycetes; Agaricales; Strophariaceae
Description: partial large subunit ribosomal RNA
Rfam family: Eukaryotic large subunit ribosomal RNA
Source: RNAcentral
CGGGAAAAGCUCAAAUUUAAAAUCUGGUGGUUAUGCCAUCCGAAUUGUAAUUUAGAGAAGUGUUAUCCGCGCUGGACCGUGUAUAAGUCUCCUGGAAUGGAGCGUCAUAGAGGGUGAGAAUCCCGUCUUUGACACGGACUACCAGGGCUUUGUGAUGCGCUCUC